GUGUGCUUUGGCAUCACCUAUACUAAAAUUGGAGUGACACAGAGAAGAUUAGGAUGGCCCCUGUGCAAGGAUGGCGUGCACAGUGAUGGAACAGUCCAUACUUUA
Molecule: non-coding RNA, 105 nt
Organism: Mus musculus (house mouse)
Lineage: Eukaryota; Metazoa; Chordata; Mammalia; Rodentia; Muridae
Source: Rfam